GAUGAAGAACGUAGCGAAAUGCGAUACGUAAUGUGAAUUGCAGAAUUCAGUGAAUCAUCGAGUCUUUGAACGCACAUUGCGCCCCCUGCUAUUCCGGGGGGCAUGCCUGUCCGAGCGUCAUUGCUGCCCUCAAGCACGGCUUGUGUGUUGGGCCCCGUCCUCCGAUUCCGGGGGACGGGCCCGAAAGGCAGCGGCGGCACCGCGUCCGGUCCUCGAGCGUAUGGGGCUUUGUCACCCGCUCUGUAGGCCCGGCCGGCGCUUGCCGAUCAACCCAAAUUUUUAUCCAGGUUGACCUCGGAUCAGGUAGGGAUACCCGCUGAACUUAAGCAUAUCAAUAAGCGGAGGA
Molecule: unclassified non-coding RNA, 346 nt
Filed under: soil metagenome
Description: partial contains 5.8S ribosomal RNA, internal transcribed spacer 2, and large subunit ribosomal RNA
Rfam family: 5.8S ribosomal RNA (bases 1-120)
Source: RNAcentral